This is a non-coding RNA of Nematostella vectensis (starlet sea anemone), 45 nucleotides long. The record is from Rfam. NCBI's taxonomy places the organism in Eukaryota, Metazoa, Cnidaria, Anthozoa, Actiniaria, Edwardsiidae.
GCCAUGCUGACGAGUCCUACUAAGGACGAAACAGCUGUCCAUGGU